RNAcentral lists this ribosomal RNA (221 nucleotides) under uncultured bacterium. RNAcentral describes it as "partial 16S ribosomal RNA". It matches the Rfam family "Bacterial small subunit ribosomal RNA", at positions 110 to 334 of the family's 1533-position model. The record is from RNAcentral.
GUAAUGUAUGGGGAUCUGCCUGAUGGCGGGGGGUAACUACUGGAAACGGUAGCUAAUACCGCAUAAUGUCUGCGGACCAAAGCGGGGGACCUCCGGGCCUCGCGCCAUCAGAUGAACCCAUAUGGGAUUAGCUAGUAGGUGAGGUAACGGCUUACCUAGGCGACGAUCCCUAGCUGGUCUGAGAGGAUGAUCAGCCACACUGGGACUGAGACACGGCCCAG